Molecule: ribosomal RNA, 497 nt
Filed under: uncultured bacterium
Lineage: Bacteria
Description: partial 16S ribosomal RNA
Rfam family: Bacterial small subunit ribosomal RNA
Source: RNAcentral
GAUGAACGCUGGCGGCGUGCCUAAUACAUGCAAGUCGAGCGAACGGACGAGAAGCUUGCUUCUCUGAUGUUAGCGGCGGACGGGUGAGUAACACGUGGAUAACCUACCUAUAAGACUGGGAUAACUUCGGGAGACCGUAGCUAAUACCGGAUAAUAUUUUGAACCGCAUGGUUCAAAAGUGAAAGACGGUCUUGCUGUCACUUAUAGAUGGAUCCGCGCUGCAUUAGCUAGUUGGUAAGGUAACGGCAUACCAAGGCAACGAUGCAUAGCCGACCUGAGAGGGUGAUCGGCCACACUGGAACUGAGACACGGUCCAGACUCCUACGGGAGGCAGCAGUAGGGAAUCUUCCGCAAUGGGCGAAAGCCUGACGGAGCAACGCCGCGUGAGUGAUGAAGGUCUUCGGAUCGUAAAACUCUGUUAUUAGGGAAGAACAUAUGUGUAAGUAACUGUGCACAUCUUGACGGUACCUAAUCAGAAAGCCACGGCUAACUACGUG